GUUGCCUUUUAGGGCUCUUGACAAAGUUCCUGAACUUGCUAAAAGGUGCACCUGGUGGCAUUGUUGAUCUGAAUAAUGCUGCAGAAACUCUAGAGGUACAGAAAAGGCGUAUAUAUGACAUCACUAAUGUUCUUGAAGGGAUAGGACUGAUAGAAAA
This is an RNA transcript of Zea mays, 157 nucleotides long. RefSeq lists it as uncharacterized. The transcript is spliced from 2 exons. Lineage: Eukaryota; Viridiplantae; Streptophyta; Magnoliopsida; Poales; Poaceae. The record is from RefSeq and is a predicted model, not a curated record.